RNAcentral lists this transfer RNA (72 nucleotides) under Caldifarciminota bacterium. RNAcentral's name for it is "tRNA-Cys". It matches the Rfam family "tRNA". From Rfam's summary of the family: Transfer RNA (tRNA) molecules are approximately 80 nucleotides in length. RNAcentral also lists the same sequence under 2 other names. The record is from RNAcentral. Lineage: Bacteria; Pseudomonadati; Caldifarciminota.
GGCGGCGUAGCCAAGCGGUAAGGCAGCGGUCUGCAAAACCGUUAUUCGCCGGUUCGAAUCCGGCCGCCGCCU